AUACGGAGGGUGCGAGCGUUACUCGGAGUCACUGGGCGUAAAGCGUCCGUAGGCGGUCGGGUAAGUCGGGUGUGAAAGCCCCGGGCUCAACCUGGGAAGUGCACCCGAUACUGCUCGACUCGAGUGCGGGAGAGGAUGGCGGAAUUCCCGGUGUAGCGGUGAAAUGCGUAGAGAUCGGGAGGAACGCCAGUGGCGAAGGCGGCCAUCUGGCCCGCAACUGACGCUGAGGGACGAAAGCGUGGGGAGCAAACAGGAUUAGAAACCCUAGUAGUCC
This 274-nucleotide ribosomal RNA is filed under the name uncultured bacterium. RNAcentral's name for it is "partial 16S ribosomal RNA". It matches the Rfam family "Bacterial small subunit ribosomal RNA", at positions 523 to 796 of the family's 1533-position model. The record is from RNAcentral.